AUGCUUCGCCUUGGCCUCCAUCCUUGCCCCCACUUCUCUCCGCCGCCAUCCCACCCCACCCUCCCCCGCCGGUUGGCCGCCUCUCCGCUCCCAAGGCCACCCUUUCCAUCCGCCGUCACCGCGCCCCGAGCUCGAAACCCUCCGCUUCAGGCCGCCGUCAGCGGAGCCGCCUCCGGAGAGGAACGGCGGGGCGCGGAUGGGGACGAGGAAGGCGCGGACCUGCACGAGGCGCUCACCAAGACGCGGCGGCUCGUCGAGUGCGCCAUGUUCGCAUCCGUUGCCGGUCUCGCCUACUUCCUCAGCAACUCCCUCGCCAUCGAGAAUUACUUCAGCUGUUUUUUUCCGUUGCCAAUAGUCAUCUCCUCCUUAAGAUGGGGAUUAGAAGCCGGCAGGAAAACUAUGGUGGCUACUGUUUUACUGCUCUUCACAUUGUCUGGCCCUGUCAAAGCGUUGACUUAUCUGCUUAUGCAUGGAGUAGUUGGUCUAUCCAUGGGUACUAUGUGGAGGUUGGAGACCAAUUGGAUUGUUUCCAUCAUAAUCUGCGCAAUUAUACGUGCAGUGGGAGCUUGUGGAUAUGUGUUAGUGACAUCGUUCUUGAUACGAGAAAAUAUUUUUCAGUUGAUAACCGUUAACAUACAUGCCUCCUUGACGUACAUUCUGGCGGCGGCUGGUGUGAACACGAUUCCAUCCAUGGAUGCAAUAUAUGUUAUCUUUGGGACACUGGUUCUGCUCAAUUCUGGAUUCUUUGUCUUCAUACUGCAUAUAAUUUACACAAUCUUCCUGACUAAGCUGGGAAUCAAGCCUUCACUGAGGCUUCCACGAUGGCUGGGGAAAGCAACGUCUAGUUGA
RNAcentral lists this ribosomal RNA (849 nucleotides) under Triticum aestivum (bread wheat). RNAcentral describes it as "partial small subunit ribosomal RNA". Lineage: Eukaryota; Viridiplantae; Streptophyta; Magnoliopsida; Poales; Poaceae. The record is from RNAcentral.